This 908-nucleotide ribosomal RNA is filed under the name uncultured archaeon. RNAcentral's name for it is "bacterial SSU rRNA". It matches the Rfam family "Archaeal small subunit ribosomal RNA", at positions 21 to 903 of the family's 1478-position model. The record is from RNAcentral.
CCACACUGCUAUCGGGAUGGGACUAAGACAUGCUAGUCGUGCGUCUCCAAGCUAUGAUGGAGAAGCGGCGUACAGCUCAGUAACACGUGGCUAACCUACCCUUAGGAUAGGAACACCUCCGGGAAACUGGAGUUAAUCCCCAAUAGGUGAUGAAUACUGGAAUGUGUCAUCGCCCAAAGGGCAUUUAAAUCAUGCUUUUAGGUGCCGCAUAAGGAUGGGGCCGCGACCGAUCAGGUUGUUGGUGAGGUAAAGGCUCACCAAGCCGUUAACCGGUACGGGCCGUGAGAGCGGGAGCCCGGAGAUGGGCACUGAGAUAAGGGCCCAGGCCCUACGGGGCGCAGCAGUCGCGAAAACUUCGCAAUACGCGCAAGCGUGACAGAGGCCAUCCCGAGUGCCUUCCGCUGAGGAGGGCUUUUACCCAGUGUAAAUAGCUGGGAGAAUAAGGAGAGGGCAAGCCUGGUGUCAGCCGCCGCGGUAAUACCAGCUCUCCGAGUGGUGUGGAUACUUAUUGGGCCUAAAGCAUUCGUAGCCUGCUAGACAAGUCUCUCGUUAAAUCCAGCGUUUCAAUCGUUGGGCUGCGGGAGAUACUUUUUAGCUAGGGGACGGGAGCGGUCGACGGUAUUUCCGGGGUAGGGGUGAAAUCCUAUAAUCCCGGGAGGACCACCAGUGGCGAAGGCUGUCGACUAGAACGUGCCCGACGGUGAGGGAUGAAAGCUGGGGGAGCGAACCGGAUUAGAUACCCGGGUAGUCCCAGCUGUAAACAAUGCAGGCUAGGUGUUAGAGCGGCUACGUGCCGCCCUAGUGCCGCAGGGAAGCCGUUAAGCCUGCCGCCUGGGGAGUACGGUCGCAAGGCUGAAACUUAAAGGAAUUGGCGGGGGAGCACCACCAAGGGGUGAAGCUUGCGGUUU